RNAcentral lists this ribosomal RNA (441 nucleotides) under uncultured bacterium. RNAcentral describes it as "bacterial SSU rRNA". It matches the Rfam family "Bacterial small subunit ribosomal RNA", at positions 958 to 1392 of the family's 1533-position model. The record is from RNAcentral.
AACGCGAAGAACCUUACCAAGGCUUGACAUACACCGGAAACGUCUGGAGACAGGCGCCCCCUUGUGGUCGGUGUACAGGUGGUGCAUGGCUGUCGUCAGCUCGUGUCGUGAGAUGUUGGGUUAAGUCCCGCAACGAGCGCAACCCUUGUUCUGUGUUGCCAGCAUGCCCUUCGGGGUGAUGGGGACUCACAGGAGACUGCCGGGGUCAACUCGGAGGAAGGUGGGGACGACGUCAAGUCAUCAUGCCCCUUAUGUCUUGGGCUGCACACGUGCUACAAUGGCCGGUACAAUGAGCUGCGAAGCCGUGAGGUGGAGCGAAUCUCAAAAAGCCGGUCUCAGUUCGGAUUGGGGUCUGCAACUCGACCCCAUGAAGUUGGAGUUGCUAGUAAUCGCAGAUCAGCAUUGCUGCGGUGAAUACGUUCCCGGGCCUUGUACACACCG